Molecule: long non-coding RNA, 107 nt
Organism: Cucurbita maxima (winter squash)
Lineage: Eukaryota; Viridiplantae; Streptophyta; Magnoliopsida; Cucurbitales; Cucurbitaceae
Exons: 3
Source: RefSeq, a predicted model, not a curated record
GAUGAAUGUUAUGAAAGUAAGAAAGCAACUCAAAAUGAUUUUUUAUUAAAUAUAACCAAGUCAAACGAGAAUAAUCGUCAAUCAAAGUAACAAAAUAUCAAAAUCCU